This 153-nucleotide unclassified non-coding RNA is filed under the name uncultured fungus. RNAcentral describes it as "sequence contains ITS1, 5.8S rRNA gene". The record is from RNAcentral. Lineage: Eukaryota; Fungi.
AUUACGAAAGCUAUAGCCCCUCCGGGGGUUAUUGCACCCACCCUUUGUCUACUUGUACCUCUUGUUGUUUCCUCGGCAGGCUUGCCUGCCGCCAGGAACCCCUUAAACCCUUGCAUCUACAGUAUUUAAAUCUGAUAACUAUUUAAAUUAUCA